RNAcentral lists this ribosomal RNA (490 nucleotides) under uncultured bacterium. RNAcentral's name for it is "partial 16S ribosomal RNA". It matches the Rfam family "Bacterial small subunit ribosomal RNA", at positions 30 to 507 of the family's 1533-position model. The record is from RNAcentral.
AUUGAACGCUGGCGGCAGGCCUAACACAUGCAAGUCGAACGGUAACAGGAAGCAGCUUGCUGCUUUGCUGACGAGUGGCGGACGGGUGAGUAAUGUCUGUGAAACUGCCUGAUGGAGGGGGAUAACUACUGGAAACGGUAGCUAAUACCGCAUAACGUCGCAAGACCAAAGAGGGGGACCUUCGGGCCUCUUGCCAUCGGAUGUGCCCAGAUGGGAUUAGCUAGUAGGUGGGGUAACGGCUCACCUAGGCGACGAUCCCUAGCUGGUAUGAGAGGAUGACCAGCCAGACUGGCAGUGAGACACGGCCGAGACUCCUACGCGAGGCAGCAGUGGAGAAUAUUGCACAAUGGGCGAAAGCCUGAUGCAGCCAUGCCGCGUGUAUGAAGAAGGCCUUCGGGUUGUAAAGUACUUUCAGCGGGGAGGAAGGGAGUAACGUUAAUACCUUUGCUCAUUGACGGUACCCGCCGAAGAAGCACCGGCUAACUCCGUG